RNAcentral lists this long non-coding RNA (4929 nucleotides) under Solanum tuberosum (potato). RNAcentral describes it as "long non-coding RNA (STUB_LNC011501)". Lineage: Eukaryota; Viridiplantae; Streptophyta; Magnoliopsida; Solanales; Solanaceae. The record is from RNAcentral.
GCUGUUUGGAGCCGUUUUGGGCCCCAGCCCAACGGCUAAAAGGGCCCAACGGCUCCUUAACGUUAAUAUUUAAAAAAAAAAUAAAAAAAAAAUAAAAAUAAUUUGACCGUUGAACCGGACCGGAACCGGUUCUUACCGGACAGGAACCGGUUCUUACCGGACCGGAUCAACCGGAUAAAAAUCCGGGUUCCGUUUCGGUACCGGUUCCGGUACCUAUAAGACCGGUUCCUUACCGGUUCAACCGGUACCGGUCUUACCGGUACGGGAACCGGACCGGAACCGGACCGGACCGGGCAAAAACCGGUCCGUUUGCCACUCUUACCUCCAAUACAUGAAUUAUCUUAUUUGAUUGACCAUCUAUUUUAGGAUGGAAGGUUGUGCUAAACACGAGCUGAGUGUCUAAUGUUUCAUGUAACUUACCCCUAAAUUUAGAAGUAAACUGAGCACCUCUUCUCAGAUGAUAGAAAGGGGCACCCCGUGCAACUUUACUAUCUCUUUGACAUAAAUCUUGCCCAACUGUUGAGAGUUAUAGUCUACUUUAACUAGAAUGAAAUGGACCGAUUUAGUCAACCUGUCAACAAUUAACCAAGAUGGAAUCAUAAUUUUCCAAAAUCUUAGGAAGACCGGCAGAAAGUCCAUGGCUAUCCUUUCCACUUCAACUCAGGAAUGAGCAUCCUUUAAAGACAUCUUGCAGGCCUCCGGUGCACAUACUUUACCUACUGUCAGUUCUUACACUUAGACACUUACUUAAAUAUGUCAUUUUUCAUCCCAGACUACAAAUAAAGUUGCCUCAAAUCUAGAUACAUUUUGGUUACACUUGGAUGAAUCGAAUACCUUUUUGGACCAAGUCUUCAAUCCGAGGAGCACAAAUCCUCUCUUUGAAGCCAAGCACUCCACUUACGUCCAGUGUAGCAUCCGGAGUCUCCCUAUACACCACCUUUUCCUUAGGCUUGUUUAAAUUCUCAUUCUCAAAUAGUUUAGCCUUGAUUUUCUGUAUAUAUGUGGGCUUGAACUCAAUAUUGCCAACACUCCACCAUUUCCUAAAAUCCACAACCGCAUGAACUUACAUUCUAGAAUCUAAAUCUCUCUUGAUAAGGGUUACCAUUUCCUGAAACCCACAACCGCAUGAACAUAGAUUCUAGAAUCUAAAUCUCUCUUUCUAAGGGUUGCUUAAACACCACAAGUAAGCCAAACUUCUCAUGCUAACUAUCUUCUGGCUCAAUGCGUCUACCACCACAUGGGCUUUGCCUAGAUUAUACUGAAUAGUUACAUCAUAGUAUUUUGACAACUCCUCCCCUGCCUCUAAUUUAAGUCCUUCUGAGUAAACACAUUUUGUAAACUAUCAUAAUCUAUGAACACCUGACAUUUAACAUCAUAAAGAUAGUAUAAGAAGAUCUAAAGUGCAAACACUAUUGUUGCCAAAUCUAAAUUAGUUUGGGUAGUUCCUCUCAUGGACCUUCAAUUGCCUUUAAUCAUACCCCAUAACAUCCUUAUCUUGCAUCAACAGAGCAUCCAAACUUGAAUGUGAAAAGCAUCACAAAACAUAAUAAAGUCUUUUUAUUCCACUGGAAAUGACAGGAUAGGAGCCGUAGUCAAAAGUGUCUUUAAUCUAUUGAAAGAUUGAUGAGUGGUAGAUUUCCACUCAUCUAAGGUCUUUUUAGUUCAAUAAAUAGUAUUCUCAAUACCUAUUUAUGUCUUUAUUUGGUGAUAUUUUUGAUUUUUUGUAGCUAUGAAGGCUAAAGGACAAGACAAGGAUGAAUGAUGAAAAAGAUCCCAAAAACAUUGAAAGGAUUGUAAACUCCCAGCUGAUAAUCGCCUAACCAAAAAAGUGGAUCGCCCAACAGGAUAGACCUCGCCCAAAGUGAUAGUGUGCACAUUUGAAAAUAUUCAAGGUUGAUCGGCAAACCAAAGUAGAAAUGUUGAUUUGCCGAAGUCAUUAGGUGAUCUAGAAGUUCCAUCGCCGAAGGUAACAGACUCUUAAGUUAAAAUGAAGGCUGAAUGGGCAAACAAGGUGAUAAAUUGGCGAUCUGCCGAAUGGAAAAGGCUGACUCAAUUGAGUUCUCCAAGUGAGGUUCAAACACAUGAAAUCUAAAGCAAAUGAAGGGUAAGUUGAAGAACAAACAACAAUCCAUCGAAUCAGAAGAGCGAUCCCGACUAACAUCACCGAGUGUGUCACACAUAGAAUUUUGGACUAAUUUUUGUGAAAACUAUAAAUAAUCCAAAAGAGAAAAAAAAGGAAAUCUUUCCAUAAUUCAUUGUUAGUCUACUGCACUUUUUACUCUUUUUUUUGGAUAUUGAGAAAUAGACUCCUUGCUUAGUUUUGGGGUUUUGAAAUACUCUUGUAAUUGACAAUUAAGGGUUGCAAUUGAAGUGGGUGUUGAAGAUUAUUGCUUAUCAUCAAUACAUUAAUGGCUGAAAAUAUCAUAGGUAUAAUUUCUUUCCUUUUUAUGAUUCUUGGCUAAAACCCCAAAUCUAGAGGUGUGGUUAUGGGGUUGGGUGUUGAUUUAAUUUAGUGGUCUUGUGUCUUGCUCUAUUUUAUUGUUGUUCAUCCAUGAAUUUGAGUUAUACAACAUGGAGUUAAUUUAUGAGUUAAGAUUGCAAACUUAAUUCUAAUUUAUAUCUUUGAUUGAUGCUUGAAAGAGAUCAAUUGAAGUGGGUGAAUAACUUGAUACAUGCAAUUUAGGUUUGAUUUCUAUAGUUUGCUCGAAAAAGAAAUUGUGGUUCAAUUCUAGUUGUUGAAUCUUCUUGAAAGAGAGAUUUUAGUAAGUUAAUGAGUUGAUUUGAUUCACAUAGAUGAGACCGGAAGGAGAUUCUAUGAUAUGAUGCUUUGAGAUCGAAAGAAGAUUACCCAGCUUAUCCAUAUUGGUCUAUCAUUAUUCAACAAACACUUGUACCUCUAUUUGACAUCAAUACCAAUCCCACACCCCUAGAUCAUCUCUUACUUGUUUGGCUCCUUGUUUAUAGUUUAAUUAUGAUAACUGAUACCAAAAACCCUUUUAGUAAAUUUGGUGGAGUCAUCCACCCACUUGUUCUAAUAACUACAGUAAAUUGGUUGGCAUUCUUAAUUUCCUAAUUGAUUUCAUUGCAUUAUAUCACUCCUUGUGGGAUUCGACCACAACUCUCUUAUUGAGUAAUUUUAUUGCUAACGAACACUUACUCUUCUAAUUGUUUGAGAGUAAUUUGAGUGUAGUAAAAAAUGGCGUCACUACCAAGGAAUGAUGGCUAAGAAAUUCAGUUUGUGAAGUUAGUGUGUGGACUUGUUUGUUUGUAGUAGAUUGUUGUUUGGUGUUGUUGUUGUGCCCUAAUCACAGGUGGAACAAUGAGCGAAGAAGGAAGUGACGAUGCUAGUCACUAGGGGUGUCAUAUGGGAGGGUUGGGCUGAAAUUGAAGAGGUUAAAAUGGGAUGCAUGAAAAAGUGGGUUGGGUUAUAACCCGCCCAAAUUUACUUUGGGCUCAAAUGGGCUAAAACCCCGGUUGGGUCAUGACCCGCCCAGUUUGACCCGCUUAAUCUAAGCAAUACCUUAGAAUAAUACAACACAAUAUUAAGUAGCAAGUAGAAAUACAACACGAUAUUAAAAAAUAAUACAACACGACAUUAAAAAUCGACACGAUAUUAAGUAGCAAUAAUAACACGAUAUAAGUAGCAAUACAACAUGAUAUUAAGUAGAAACAAUAACAAAAUAUUAAAUAGCAAACAAGUGGUAUUAUAUGAACUUUAAAACCACAGAACAAUACUACAUUUGUUUGUAUAUAUGACAAUAACAAAACUUCCAAAUAAAAUGUAUCAAGUUCUGCAAUUGGAUCAGUGAAACAUAUUCUUUACCAAGUCUAACAGGAAAGGUUGCUUUAUCAACUGCAACUUCCUCAAUGUCAAUUGUUUUCUAAGCAGCAGAUAACACAUGAUCUCUAUUACCAGCACAUCCAUUUCUUCUAUGGGGCUAUCAAAAUCAAAAUCAAAACCUAUUAAGAAUUCGGGAUCAGAAAGGGUUCCUCUACAUAAGGGGCAUGCUGAAUUUGUUUAGAGCCAUGUAUCUAUGCAGUUGAUAUGGAAAGCAUGGCUGCAAGUUGGGAGUAAUCUAAACUUGUCCGUUUCAGAGAAUUCACACAAACAAACAACACAAUCAAAGAGUUCUUUAGUAAGACCAUCAACAACUUUUUUGUACACAAAGACAGGUAAUGCAUCAAUAAAAGCUUGAGCAAGACCAUAUUCAUGUUGAUGGAAAAGCUGUUGCAAUUGUCUUUGCAAGGCCUCAGAGCUAGAAACUAAAACAUAUCCAUACAUAUAGAAAAUCAUCCACAGACAUACCAAGAUCCAUUUGAAAAGCACAAGUCAACUUGAAGUACAUCGUUGAAGUGUCUACAGUUUAUCAUCUCUUCAUUUUGUUUUUCAUUCUUAGUACUAUGUUUUCUAGAUUAUGUGAUCUUCUCUAUGCUUGAUAUCAAACUCGAGAAUUUCAGACGCGCUUAAGUUCUUUUUGUACACAAGCAGUAUGUCAUAGAAUCGUCUCAGUUUCCUACAUCGUGAUUCAUAACAUAGUUCUGCAAGUAAUAUAUGCCAGAAUAGAGACAUAGAUAAAACAUUAGCUUACAACUGUUAGAGACAUGUCCAGAAUCAUUACUCACAGAACAAAUAGGCGUUGAUGAGACAUAUGUAACGCCACAACCAUGACUUCCAUAUCCAUUCUCCAGCACACAAUGGCCAUUUUCUAUAUGGAUAGGCACUAGUUUCGGGGCCAUGACAGUUCUAACAGGACAGUCUUUUGUUCACCCAUUUGCUAUGAUACUCAUACUAAACAUGACAAGAAAUACAAACAGUCCAAAACAUGUCGAGUCUGUUUUGAGAAACGGAAUAAUUGAAUUAUAAAGGGAAAAUGCUCAAAUAUGUUAUUGAAUUUAUAGAAAUACUCAGUUCUUCCACUCUUAACUAAU